CUACGCUGAAGUGGUGAUGGUCCCCGAGCCGAAAGGCGAGGGGUGAAAAGGGAACACGGUGAGGCCUGUUCAGGUCGAGGCCGUGGCUGCCCCCGCAACUGUAAGCGGCGAGCAAAAUCCGUGAAUGCCACUGGCCGGCAAGGCUGGGAAGGCAGGAUGGCGCAACGACCCGCGAGCCAGGAGACCUGCCAUCACUGAGUUGACCGG
RNAcentral lists this non-coding RNA (207 nucleotides) under Mesorhizobium ciceri. The record is from RNAcentral. Lineage: Bacteria; Pseudomonadati; Pseudomonadota; Alphaproteobacteria; Hyphomicrobiales; Phyllobacteriaceae.